GACGAACGCUGGCGGUGUGCUUAACACAUGCAAGUCGAACGGUAAGGCCCUUUCGGGGGUACACGAGUGGCGAACGGGUGAGUAACACGUGAGUAACCUGCCCUCAUCUCUGGGAUAACAGUCGGAAACGGUUGCUAAUACUGGAUAUGAGCUUGCAAGGCAUCUUGUGGGUUGGAAAGAUUUUUUUGGUUGGGGAUGGACUCGCGGCCUAUCAGCUUGCUGGUGAGGUAGUGGCUCACCAAGGCUUCGACGGGUAGCCGGCCUGAGAGGGCGACCGGCCACAUUGGGACUGAGAUACGGCCCAAACUCCUACGGGAGGCAGCAGUGGGGAAUAUUGCACAAUGGACGGAAGUCUGAUGCAGCAACGCCGCGUGCGGGAUGACGGCCUUCGGGUUGUAAACCGCUUUCAAUUGUGACGAAGCUUUUUGUGACGGUAGCAGUAGAAGAAGCACCGGCUAACUACGUG
RNAcentral lists this ribosomal RNA (466 nucleotides) under uncultured bacterium. RNAcentral describes it as "partial 16S ribosomal RNA". It matches the Rfam family "Bacterial small subunit ribosomal RNA", at positions 28 to 507 of the family's 1533-position model. The record is from RNAcentral.